GCGAGCUUGGCGGAAUGGUAGACGCACGAGACUUAAAAUCUCGAGUCCGAAUGGGCGUGCGGGUUCGAGUCCCGCAGCUCGCA
This 83-nucleotide transfer RNA is filed under the name Neokomagataea tanensis. RNAcentral describes it as "alpha proteobacterium BCC 25711 tRNA". It matches the Rfam family "tRNA". From Rfam's summary of the family: Transfer RNA (tRNA) molecules are approximately 80 nucleotides in length. Their secondary structure includes four short double-helical elements and three loops (D, anti-codon, and T loops). Further hydrogen bonds mediate the characteristic L-shaped molecular structure. tRNAs have two regions of fundamental functional importance: the anti-codon, which is responsible for specific mRNA codon recognition, and the 3' end, to which the tRNAs corresponding amino acid is attached (by aminoacyl-tRNA synthetases). tRNAs cope with the degeneracy of the genetic code in two manners: having more than one tRNA (with a specific anti-codon) for a particular amino acid; and 'wobble' base-pairing, i.e. permitting non-standard base-pairing at the 3rd anti-codon position. The record is from Rfam by way of RNAcentral. Lineage: Bacteria; Pseudomonadati; Pseudomonadota; Alphaproteobacteria; Acetobacterales; Acetobacteraceae. RNAcentral also lists the same sequence under 1 other name.